This 253-nucleotide ribosomal RNA is filed under the name uncultured bacterium. RNAcentral's name for it is "partial 16S ribosomal RNA". It matches the Rfam family "Bacterial small subunit ribosomal RNA", at positions 524 to 776 of the family's 1533-position model. The record is from RNAcentral.
GACGGGAGAUGCAAGCGUUAUCCGGAAUCACUGGGCGUAAAGCGUCUGUAGGUGGUGAUGCAAGUCACUGGUGCAAAACUCUGGCUCAACCGGAGGAAAGCCAGUGAAACUGCAUGACUAGAGUGUGGGAGAGGUAGAAGGAAUUCCCUAAGUAGCGGUGAAAUGCGUAGAUACAGGGAAGAACACCGGAGGCGAAAGCGUUCUACUGGAACACAACUGACACUGAGAGACGAAAGCUAGGGGAGCGAAGGGG